RNAcentral lists this ribosomal RNA (495 nucleotides) under uncultured bacterium. RNAcentral describes it as "partial 16S ribosomal RNA". It matches the Rfam family "Bacterial small subunit ribosomal RNA", at positions 28 to 507 of the family's 1533-position model. The record is from RNAcentral.
GACGAACGCUGGCGGCGUGCCUAAUACAUGCAAGUAGAACGCUGAAGGAGGAGCUUGCUUCUCCGGAUGAGUUGCGAACGGGUGAGUAACGCGUAGGUAACCUGCCUGGUAGCGGGGGAUAACUAUUGGAAACGAUAGCUAAUACCGCAUACGAGUAGAUGUCGCAUGACAUUUGCUUAAAAUGUGCAACUGCACCACUACCAGAUGGCCCUGCGUUGUAUUAGCUAGUUGGUGAGGUAACGGCUCACCAAGGCAACGAUACAUAGCCGACCUGAGAGGGUGAUCGGCCACACUGAGACUGAGACACGGCCCAGACUCCGACGGGAGGCAGCAGUAGGGAAUCUUCGGCAAUGGACGGAAGUCUGACCGAGCAACGCCGCGUGAGUGAAGAAGGUUGUCGGAUCGUAAAGCUCUGUUGUAAGAGAAGAACGAGUGUGAGAGUGGAAAGUUCACACUGUGACGGUAUCUUACCAGAAAGGGACGGCUAACUACGUG